Molecule: ribosomal RNA, 215 nt
Filed under: uncultured bacterium
Lineage: Bacteria
Description: partial 16S ribosomal RNA
Rfam family: Bacterial small subunit ribosomal RNA
Source: RNAcentral
UCCCAGUUCGGAUUNUAGUCUGCAACCCGACUACAUGAAGCUGGAAUCGCUAGUAAUCGCGGAUCAGAAUGCCGCGGUGAAUACGUUCCCGGGUCUUGUACACACCGCCCGUCACACCAUGGGAGUCGGAAAUGCCCGAAGUCGGUGACCGAACCGAAAGGAAGGAGCCGCCGAAGGCAGGUCUGGUGACUGGGGUGAAGUCGUAACAAGGUAUC